GAGUAACACGUAUCCAACCUGCCGAUAACUCCGGGAUAGCCUUUCGAAAGAAAGAUUAAUACCGGAUAGCAUACGAAUAUCGCAUGAUAUUUUUAUUAAAGAAUUUCGGUUAUCGAUGGGGAUGCGUUCCAUUAGUUUGUUGGCGGGGUAACGGCCCACCAAGACUACGAUGGAUAGGGGUUCUGAGAGGAAGGUCCCCCACAUUGGAACUGAGACACGGUCCAAACUCCUACGGGAGGCAGCAGUGAGGAAUAUUGGUCAAUGGGCGAGAGCCUGAACCAGCCAAGUAGCGUGAAGGAUGAAGGCUCUAUGGGUCGUAAACUUCUUUUAUAUGGGAAUAAAGUAUUCCACGUGUGGAAUUUUGUAUGUACCAUAUGAAUAAGGAUCGGCUAACUCCGUGCCAGCAGCCGCGGUAAUACGGAGGAUCCGAGCGUUAUCCGGAUUUAUUGGGUUUAAAGGGAGCGUAGGUGGAUUGUUAAGUCAGUUGUGAAAGUUUGCGGCUCAACCGUAAAAUUGCAGUUGAAACUGGGAGUCUUGAGUACAGUAGAGGUGGGCGGAAUUCGUGGUGUAGCGGUGAAAUGCUUAGAUAUCACGAAGAACUCCGAUUGCGAAGGCAGCUCACUAGACUGUUACUGACACUGAUGCUCGAAAGUGUGGGUAUCAAACAGGAUUAGAUACCCUGGUAGUCCACACAGUAAACGAUGAAUACUCGCUGUUUGCGAUAUACAGUAAGCGGCCAAG
RNAcentral lists this ribosomal RNA (741 nucleotides) under uncultured bacterium. Its description in RNAcentral is "bacterial SSU rRNA". It matches the Rfam family "Bacterial small subunit ribosomal RNA", at positions 108 to 851 of the family's 1533-position model. The record is from RNAcentral.